Molecule: ribosomal RNA, 253 nt
Filed under: uncultured bacterium
Lineage: Bacteria
Description: partial 16S ribosomal RNA
Rfam family: Bacterial small subunit ribosomal RNA
Source: RNAcentral
UACGUAGGGUGCGAGCGUUAAUCGGAAUUACUGGGCGUAAAGCGUGCGCAGGCGGUCUGUUAAGCCAGAUGUGAAAUCCCCGGGCUUAACCUGGGAACUGCAUUUGUGACUGGCAGGCUAGAGUAUGGCAGAGGGGGGUAGAAUUCCACGUGUAGCAGUGAAAUGCGUAGAGAUGUGGAGGAAUACCGAUGGCGAAGGCAGCCCCCUGGGCCAAUACUGACGCUCAUGCACGAAAGCGUGGGGAGCAAACAGG